CACCUCUGCCAGCACCUGAAAAAGUGGAAGAAGACCUGAGAAGAGCUGGGCGGCUGCCGCCGGGACUCCCUUCCCUGUCCACCCAGCAGAGCGGGGACCCCGGGGGGCUGCCGUCCCCUCCUGACACUGUGGACACGGGGACCAGGCAGCGGCUGGCGGGGCAGGGCAGGACUGACACCGCCUCAGGAGCCCGGCCGCAGCUGAGAGAGAAGGACCCACGGCCACGGUGAAUUUCACAGAAGACCAGAUCCAAGCGCUCAUGGACAAGAAGUCCAAUAUUAGAAAUAUGGCUGUGAUUGCUCAUGUUGAUCAUGGCAAAUCAACACUGACAGACUCCUUGGUUUGUAAAGCAGGCGUCAUUGCUUCAGCCAGAGCUGACAAAACACGAUUCACAGACACACGGAAAGAUGAACAAGAAAGAUGUAUCACCAUCAAGUCUACGCUAUGGUGCUGGGUGCUGGGAAGGAAAUCUACCAGCUCAGUUGCUUAAAAAUGUCUUAGCCGUGAAGACUGAGGAGCGUGAGUGCAAGUAAAGACAAAACAGGAAAAAGGAGAAGUAUUUCACCUUUAUGACUCAUGAGAUCUGCCAUGACAAAGCAGGGGACUUUUUGCAACCUUAGUGUGCCCAGAAGAAAUGGUUGGUGGGAUAUGUCGUCUGCUGAACAGGAAAAGGGGACAUGUUUCUGAAGAAUCCCAAGUGACGGGAACUCCAGUGUUUGUAGUCAAGGCGUACCUCCCUGUAAAUGAGUCAUUUGUUAAGAUAACCCUCUUUUUUUUGUUUUGUUUUGUUACCCACACACAUUUGAAAGAAAGACCACUGCAGGAUGAAAGGGACUUAGGAAUUCCAAUUUUAUUAGCUCUAGGUUUCUUCCUGUUCUCUCUUCACAUCUUCAUUUCAUUGGUUAAGAAGAAAUAAUUGACUUUUCUUUUUUUUUUCUUUUUUUCUGGCAACCUACUCAAUUGGGCUUUCACGCCAGCAGAGGGUGCCAGAAGGACGUGUGGCAUCUUCUGCAAAUUAAGACUUAACAGUGUUUGUCUGGUUCUGUUCCCAAGUUGGAUGAAAGAGUUCAUCUUCAGUGGCAGCUGACAAGAAAAUUUGGUAUUGGUAUAUUUAAAAGGAAGAUGGGGUGUGAGCCUGAAAAGGUAGCACUACCUUACUCAGGUUCUCAAAGAGUUUUUAGGGUUUUAUCUAUGCAGAAAUUCACAAUAAACCAUGAUUUUCUGUUGCUUAAUCAUCCUUUUCUUUUUCCCCUUUGCAUUAGGUUUUACUGCUGACUUGAAGUCCAACACCAGCAGCCAGGCUUUUCCACAGUGUGCCUUUGAUCACUGGCAGAUUUUGCCUGGAGAUCCUAACGAUGUAAAUUCUCAUCCUCUGCAAGUUGUGGCUGAAAUGCGUAAAUGCAAAGGCUUGAAGGAUGGCAUUCCAUCUCUAGCUAACUUCCUAGAUAAGUUGUAAUAUAUCUGUUAAUUUGUUUCGUGUUGUGUGACACACUGCCCAGUUUUGUCCUGAGACCAUUUCCUCAUAAAACCAAGGAAGAAAACGGAAAGUUUUUAGAAUAUCACGUUGAAUACACACAGUCUUAACAUAUUGUGAUUGUGGCAUAAUCACCUACUAAAAAAAAUAAAAAUAACAUGUUAAUUUGGUUUAUGGAAUUGUUGUUGUCUGUAUCUGGUCUGUGAUCAUUGCUGCCUGUAGCAAAAAUACACAAAAAGCAGUUGUUCUUUCUAAUGUUGUACUUCCCAGUUUUCCUAAUCCACAAUUGUUUUCUAACCUAGGAAGGAGCUCCCUUCAUUGUUGCUCUUGCAGAAAUUCUUGUUGAAUGGUCAGUUUUUGUCCUCUCAGACAGAAGAUGCGUUCACUCAUUUCCAAACUUGAAUCCUCUGUGUUGUUGAAGACUGAUAGUGAAAGGCUUGCAGUCACAGCUCUCCUGGGCCCUACAGUUUAAGAGCAAGAACUUUAUGGAAGCCACAGACCGUGACUGCAGCCAAGUUGCACAGACUGGGACAGAGGGGAGAAGGCACCACAGUGAAGAAGCUGCUGUCCCUGCCAGUCAUAGUGCUGAAGUUGGACAACGACAAAGUGGAGUUGACAGGGGACUCGGGGAGCUGUCUGUUGUGCCAACCAAGAUGCAGAAGUGACUGAAAACCAGAGCCAAGCACCAUUCCAAGACAUCCCGGAUUUUAACAGGGAGACAGGAGAAAAGCUUAUUGCUUUGAAAACAACGAAGUGCCUCCCUGCCAGGACUGACAGAAUGGAUGAAACGUACAACAUAGCCUUCUUCCUGGGCACCAGAGCAGAUAAGGAGGGGGUAAGGCAGUGAGAACAGCCUGUAAGAUGAUGCUAACUUUGCAAGAACGCAUGAUGCUCCUGCACUUGGGAUAAUCUGAAGAGAAUCCUGUCCAAUAGCUUCAUCAGUUUCUUUUACUAUGGAAAAACAUCCCUGCAAACACAGCAACAGCGCAAGUUUUUUGUGAGACAUAAAACUAUUUAAUAGAGUUUUGCCUGUACAGAGGUACUGUAGCAAUACAACCUUCUGCAAAGAGAGGCCUAGAAAUUCUCCUCUGGAAGGAAAGAGCUGCAUACCAAAGAGACUACAAGUGCAUAUCAGUUUAUC
This is a long non-coding RNA of Cygnus olor (mute swan), 2615 nucleotides long. RefSeq lists it as uncharacterized. The transcript has 5 exons. The record is from RefSeq and is a predicted model, not a curated record. NCBI's taxonomy places the organism in Eukaryota, Metazoa, Chordata, Aves, Anseriformes, Anatidae.